UGGGGGGGGUGGCAGCUGUAGCAGCGUCGGGGGAGCAGGCGGGGGUGAAAGAAGUGUAGACCGGCCCCGCACGUCCCCUUCUCAGCGCCUGAUGUCCACACAUCACCACCACCACCAUUUGGGGUACUCGUUGCUCCCAGCACAGUACAACUUACCCUACGCAGCAGGGCUUUCUUCUACAGCCAUUGUUGCCAGCCAGCAAGGCUCCACUCCCUCACUCUACCCACCCCCGCGGAGGUGAGAAUGAACACCAAGUGCCCGGAUAAAGUCAGCUUCACGGGCCCGGACUGGCUCACCCAAGGAGGUGCUGGAGGUGCCAUUUAGACAUCAGUUAAAUGGUGUUGAUCAUCCUGUUUGCCGUUCCCACCAUGACCGAAGGCAGACCCUUGGCUAUCUCACCUCCACCAGAUCCCUGGACUCCCCAACCCUCCCUCUUCCUCAGGAGCUGGAGAGCUGGUACUUAGCAAAAAUAUUUAUUCUCUCGGCCACAGUUGAGACUGUUGUGGCCUCUGUGGAGAUGAAGGCACGGGGAGCAACCAGGGGAACAUGGCCUCAGCCCAGAGAAGUAACUGCUCCGUUCCCCAAGCCCCUGGUCAGCUGCCAGAGCAGUGCCAACCCCCACCCCCCAGGGAGGGACUCACAAGUACUGGGUAAGGUCUGAAGACAGCACAGCAGCCAUACCCCUGUCACUGUCAUUACCACAAUCACCAGAUCCUGCAUCUCCCCAGCAGUUUGGGCCCUGGGAACUGGCAGCAUGUGGAGGAAUUAGAAUCUCAGGAAAGAAAUUGGGGGCUGUUUUCUCUGUACUUGUGAAAACAAAGUCUUCACCCAUGAAGACUUCUCCCCUCUCAUGUGAGCACAUAUAAAUGCUCAGAGCCUAGCCUGGAAAGGAAGACCAAGGCAUUUGCCCCACCAUGGCCCUGGGAUACCUGUCAGGCAGAGGGCUGAGGUCCCAACACCAGCACAGGGCUCCCCAGGGAUACUUGGGAGUGAGCUGGAGCAUGAAUGGAGUCUGUGAAAAAGAACCUGCAUCCCCACUAAGUCCUGCUGCUUCUAAGCCCCCAACUCCUUGCCCUUUUCUCUCUCUCCUCCUUACCCCUUGGUGCCUUUCCCAGGGGGAUCCCCAUGCUGAUCUCUCCUUCUCUUUUCCACUGCUUGGCUCUUAAGACUCAGGCAGGUAAAAUAGUAUUCCCCCCAGCAUGGGGAGAUCUGGAGUCUGCCAGGUCACCUUCGGGCAAGGCCCAGGAGGGAGGCCCUGGGAGCACCCAGCAGUUCUUAGAGGUGUCCUGUCCAUUCAGCCAUCUGAGUAUCCUCCUCAUUUAGGGCCACAAAUAUAUACAGCCCAGUUCCUCUGUAUACAAGUACAUGAUUUUAUAUAGCUCAAUCUAUAACCCCACGUGUGCCAAUAUCAGCUGUGUUUCUUUGUUAACACACGUUUUUGUUUUAGGGGCCACUGGCCAUGGAAAGUUACGGGUUCCUUAGACCCUGGGAUAACACAUCCAAGCCAUUACUCCUCAGAGCCAGAGUGUACUCAGUGGAGCUGUGCUAUGAGGCAGCAGACAUUUCUCUGCUCUCCUUAGAAAUGCAGUCUACCAGCCCAGCUUUAUGCUCUUUGCCCUGGGAAAGUGACCAUGAUUUGGUAGCUUUAUUGGAGUCACUUCUUCCCCAAGGUAUGAGGAGCUUUAGCUCUUAUUUUGCUUUUGAGGUAUCAUCCCUUUGUUCUCCUUGGCUAUCUUUCCUUGACCUUCUGGAUUGAGAAAGACUGACAUACACCAGCCUAAGGCUAGAGAGGGGUAUUUGUGACCAGAGUGCCAAAGUGACCAUUUAAGAGCAAGGACUUGGCUCGGACUCCAUUUGGGGCAUGGGGGUGGAAGACAAUAAGCACAAUGCCCAGCAGAGGCUGCUUUCCAAGAGCCCUGGCUUAGGGUCGUUUGCCCAAGAGGAGCCCCUUUCACCUAUAGACCUCUCCUCUAGGCUUUCAUGUCAGUUGUUUUUGUUCAAGUUGGGUUGAAUCCUUCCCAAAACCCACUGUUUUAGACCACUUUGCAGGCCCCCAAGCAGCCUCCCUUUUCCCCAUCAUUCCCUCGGCCUCCUGCUAAACCCAGAGGGCAGGGCUCUGGGCAGUGACUUCCCUUUCAUCCAUGGAAGUAGUUGGUUUGGGCACCUUCACCCCACCUAACCUGAGUCACCCCCACCAAGAGGAUGACUCUGAAUUUCAGCCUGAUUGUACCCUCCCAGACUCCUGUGGGGUGGAGCCAAGGGCCCAUCUCUGUUCCUGUUUGUUUUUAAAUAUUGUUGUGUUUUGUAACUGUGGCGCUGGCUUACAGCGUGCUCUGUACAUAUUGUAAAGAAACCGUUGGAGUAAUUUUCUUUCCCACUGGGCAGGCCUGGCCCCACAUUCCUGCCCCUUCCACUUGGUUCUGUAACACAGAGAAGAGGAACUUCUGUAUUAGCAGGGCAGCCUUGGGUUCUGCAGAAGGGAAUUUUUUUUUUUUCUUUCCUUACAAAGAAACAUUUGGCUCUCUGAUCCUUAUAUCCAAGUCUCCCUAGAAGCGUAGGAGCUGAGCUCCCAGAAGAGCAGGUGAAAGCAACAAUGGCAGAAUAGCACUGUCUUUUCCUGGUCCCUGCUCCUUGCCAGGUCCAGUCUUCCCUCCCUGAAAUAACAUGCAGCAGCUGCAUCAACGAAGGAAGUAGAGAUCCUUGACAAGUGCUGAGUGAAGGAUCUGCUGUCCACCUCCAGCCUCUAUGGAGAGGAGGCACACAGGUAGGAGUACCUGUGGCACCCAUGACUUGCUCAGAGAGAUGAGACACUCAGCAGGGAUUCCACCCCAUGAGCAAAGGCUGGAAUAGCUUGCUGGGACCAAGACCACCAGACCAAAGCUCUCUAUGAGCCACCUCUGCCCCUUCACAAACCUCGUUCACCGGGGCUCCACACAGAGGACCUACAGGGAGGGAGCCUCAUCCCCAGUUAGGACAGCCAGGGCUGGGAGAGCUGCUCUUUAGGGUUCACAUCUGCUUCCUCACUUAAGGUGUGCCGGUUUCCUUCAUCCCCCUUCCCUGCCUGUACAUGUACGUGUACAUGUACGAAGUUCCCUUCUCUUACCUCAUUCCCUCCACAUGUCUCCAGGUCAAAUGACCACAGGCAGAAUGGUUAAGAAGGCACCCCAUGAAAUGAAAUGGUGACUCUUGAAUAUUCUCUCCGGGCUCCAAGGGGAGGGUGAGAGGAUGUGGUUUUGGGGGUGGGAGGGUGAGACUGUAGAAGGGCUAGAGUUACUGUACAUGGGCUUUGAGGUCACCCUUGUUGCUCAUUAUGCUGUGUACCCUGUUACCAUCCCAAUGUCUACUCUCCUGCCCCUGUGAUUUAACUGGGCAGCUAGUUGGCCCCAUAAUUCUGGGCCUUUGUCAUUUGUUUUACUACUAGGGCAUCCCAGGAAGCUCUCUGAUGAUCCUCUGCCAUGGGCCCCUCCUGGGAUCAAGCCCCUCCCAGGCCCCGCCCCCAGCCCCUCUUGCCCCAGCCCACCCGCUUGCCUUGGUGCUCAGCCCCCCAUUGGGAGCAGGUUGGGGCGAGCUGGAGGCCCGGGCUGGAGGGGCAGUGUUGCUGUUCAUAGCUUUUGUUCCAUUGGCGUUGCUCUGUUGGAUUUAAUUUCAGUCUUCCUGAUUCUUCCCUUCUGUAAAGUGUACAUUA
Long non-coding RNA from Panthera uncia (snow leopard), 3685 nucleotides. RefSeq lists it as uncharacterized. The transcript has 3 exons. Lineage: Eukaryota; Metazoa; Chordata; Mammalia; Carnivora; Felidae. The record is from RefSeq and is a predicted model, not a curated record.